RNAcentral lists this ribosomal RNA (532 nucleotides) under Agriomorpha fusca. RNAcentral's name for it is "partial 16S ribosomal RNA". It matches the Rfam family "Bacterial large subunit ribosomal RNA", at positions 1831 to 2619 of the family's 2925-position model. Lineage: Eukaryota; Metazoa; Arthropoda; Insecta; Odonata; Thaumatoneuridae. The record is from RNAcentral.
GUCUUCUCGGUUUUUUGGGAAGUCUGACCUGCCCAUUGAUAUUUAUUUAACGGCCGCGGUAUUUUGACCGUGCAAAGGUAGCAUAAUCAUUAGUCUUUUAAUAGGGGACUGGAAUGAAGGGUUUGACGAGGUAUUAACUGUCUCAUUAUAAAAUUUUGAAUUUAUCUUUUGAGUUAAAAGACUCAGUUGUUAUUGGUAGACGAGAAGACCCUAUAGAGCUUUAUAAUUGAUAUUUUGGCUUGAAUUUGUUUAAUGAUUGCGUGUCAUUUUUUUAAUUUUUUUGUUGGGGUGACAACAAAUAUAUGUUUAACUUUUGGAUUAAACUUAUCAUUUAUUUAUGUUUAUUAGAUCCUUUAUUAUUGAUUGUUAGUUUAAGUUACCUUAGGGAUAACAGCGUAAUUUUCUUUCAGAGUUCAUAUUUACAAGAAAGCUUGCGACCUCGAUGUUGGAUUAAGAUGAUAGUUGGGUGUAGAAGCUUGAUUAAUAGGUCUGUUCGACCUUUAAAUUCUUACAUGAUCUGAGUUCAGACCGG